RNAcentral lists this long non-coding RNA (3012 nucleotides) under Homo sapiens (human). RNAcentral describes it as "HSALNT0055761". Lineage: Eukaryota; Metazoa; Chordata; Mammalia; Primates; Hominidae. The record is from RNAcentral.
CAGGACCCCACUGGAAAUCGGACUGUCCAACUCACCCUGCAGCCACUACCAGAGCUCCUGGAACUCUGGCCCAAGGCUCUCUGACUGACUCCUUCCCAGAUCUUCUCGGCUUAGUGGCUGAAGGCUGAUGCUGCCCCAUCACCUCGGAAGCCUCCUGGACCAUCACAGACACUUUCAGUAACUCUUACAGUGGAAGAUACAUGGUCUCCCUAUGUUGCCCCAGCUGGUCUUGAACUCCUGGGAUCAAGCAAUCCUCCUGCCUUGGCCUUCCAAAGUGCUGGGAUUACAGGCAUGAGCCACUGCACCUGGCCUAUGACUAAUAUUUAUAGUACACAAAAUCCCAAUAUAAUGGAAUCAGGUUCAAGUGGUUCAGAUUACUAGAAAUCACAGUGAGAAUUGGAGGUAAAGCUGACACAGAUUCUCUGAACAGAACUAGCAAGUGAGAAAAAUGAUAGGGCACACUGGCAAAUCAAGAAGUAGAAUUGAGUUAAUGGUGAUGGCAUCAAAAUAGAUAGAAACCUUUAUAUAAGCAUGCAUUAAGCCCUUCAAAGAACUGAAGAGGGUGUGUGUGUGUGUGCACACAUAUGUGUGUGUAUGUGUGUGUGCAUGUGUGUCUGUAUAAGAUGCGGGUGUUUGGGGGCAGUUUCGUCAUGACUAAGACCAUUGGGACAUCUGCAGUCAAAGAAGGUAAAGGGAAUCCAAAGUCUGGUACUUGAUUGUAGAACAAAAAAACUGUGAUGAACUCAAGCACGUAUCAGUUCACCCUUUCUUCCAAUUUGCAAGACACGGAGCCUAUAAUCAAUCACUAUUUUUAGAGAAAGUAAUGAUUAGAUGGAAAGGAAUCAGCAGAAAGCACAUGGUUUACAGAAUUGUUUCUCACAGAGGUUAUUGUAACCAGAGCAACACAUUGUCUUCAUUAUGGGUCAUAAAAAAAUUGCUCAUUUCCCUAGACUUUUUUUGCUGUGAUGCAACAUUAUUUAUAUUUUACAAGUUGACGUAAAUGGUAUCUUGAUGAGCAUUUUUGGAAAGAGUUGCUCCUUGAUUAAGAAAUGCUAAGCUUUCUCUGAUUGAUUCUAAAUUAUGCUAUACUUUUUUUUUUUUGGCAAAUGUCUAUUGUUAUAAAUCUGGCCAUUAGAUAUUUCUAGGAACAUCAGUAUCAAGUGAGAAGCCACUGUAUCUCUCUAGGGUCUGUGAGCCUCUGAAGUUAAAUACUUGGGAGUAUAAGUGCAUAUUUCUGUAAAAAAAAUAAAAAUAAAAAUAAAAAUAAAAAGAGGCCAUAGUGUCAUCAGAUGUUCAAAAGAGUCUGGAACUAAGUUUUUUUUUAAAUUAGGAAACCCUUUGCUCUGAAUGUACAAGCUUAGUUAUUUAUUUCAGGUUGUAACCUUGCCUUGGCCCAGUGUAUUUUCCAUUAAUCUCCAGAAGUGCUUUAGAUUCAUGAGAGUAGACCCCCCACGCUCAACCCUGUGUGACAGGAAGGAGCCCAAUUAAAUAAAUACACGUUUUUGAAAUAAUUAUGUUGUGACUGGUGAGGAUCAAAUAAUUAAUUCAUCUUCUUUUUUAAACUUUUAGCGAACAUUUCACAAUGAUGCUCUUUCCACCUUUGUAAAAUAGGGAGAUGUCAUUUGUAGUAGGCACAAUGGUUAGCCCACAUGAGUGAGACUUAGUAUAGAUUUUAAAAUACUGAGGUUCAGCCAUAACAAUAAAGUGGUUCUCAGAGUGACAAACAACAUGUGCUUAAAAUCUUUCAGUGGUGCCCCCAAAUUCCUAGAAUAAAUCCCAAAUUCCUUCAGUAGCUUUGUAAUCUAACCCCAAGUGUACAGGUUUAUCUUUUAAUAUUACAGAGUUUCUUAGCUUAAGCAUUACUGACCUUGAGAGCUGGUCUUUGUUGUGGAGGCUGUCCUGUGCACUGGCGGAUGUUUAGCAGCUUCCCUGACCUCUACCCACUACAAGCUAAUAGCAGCCCCCUCUGCCACUUGUGACACCAAAAGUGUUGCCAGAAAUUGACAAAUGUUCCCUGGGGCCAAAGUCUGCCUUGAUUAAGAACCACUCAUUUAUAGUCCUUCAUUCUCUCAACUCAUCUCCACCAUGAUGAACUUCCUUCCAUUUCGGAAUGCACAUUUCUUUCUCCUCUGUACCUUUGUACCUCUGUACCUUUUAUGUAUGCACCACACUUCCCACUCUGUUAUGCCUAGCAAACUCCUCCGUCUUAUCUUCAGGACUCAGCUUAGCAGCCUGGGUUAGAUAGGUACAGCUUCCACCUGCAUUUCCUCUUUCACAGCCUAGCUCUGUUGUAUGAUUUAGUUGAAGGUUUAUCUGUACCUCCUAUUAAACCAUAAGUGGCAAGAGAUCAAGAUCAUUACUGAGGUCUUCACUGCUGUAUUGCAUUGCCUGGCACAUAUUAGGAGCACAAUAAAGAGUUGCUGAAUAAACUAACAUUUGAGCCCCACAAAGAUAAGUCAACACUACUAUAGUGUUACUUUUUUAAAAAAUUGCAUUUCCUUGUACAGUUAUUAAACAUUAAGAGUUCAAAAAUAACCUUGGGAAAAAACUGGUACAACGUGUGUUUAACACAAAUCACUGUUUCAACUUAAUUCUUUCCAUGCAUUUGACCUUUACAAGUCUUUUUAGCUUAAUUUAUUUUAGAUUUAAAACCUGUAUUUUAUCACAAUUUGGCAGAUUUUUGUUUGCUGUCUAUUAGCAUGGUAAAGGUCACAUCAUUAGAUGAAGUCUGGUGGCAGAAAAAACAGUAAUUCGCCAAUGGGAAACACAGAAAAACUGGCUUCAUUUUUUAUGUUGUACUGUAACUUUUAUCUUGGGGUUGAUUUAAAAUGUUAUUAUUCAACACUGAAAAUUAUAUCUGAAAUGAAUUCUGUAAAGUACACAAAAGAGAAAAAUUGCCUAGAUGCUAAAUCUAAAACCAUGGUUAUGUUACACAAUUAAAUAUUAGAAAGUGCUUAAAAUAUCUUGGCUAACAAAGGGACUUAAAGAUCUGUUAAAUAAAAACUACUAAAG